GGUUCACAGUUUCAGUAGGUAAAAAGGUCACAGCACAAUUUGAAAGCAGUCAGUGCGAAGAAUCUCUGAGCAGGGCGUCAAAUAAUAGAAAGUCUUCCUGCUGGUUUGGCUUAAGAAUAAUGAGGCUGACUCCUCACAUUCCCAAAGGAAAUUUAUCUGCCCCCUUUCCUCUGCCAAGCCUGUUCCUGUCUUCCCUAUCGGAGGGAAUGGUGUCUCCAUCCUUCCAGUGUCAAAACAUGAGAUGCUCCCGUGACUCCCGCGCACUGCUCUCCGUGUUCCAGGCCCACAGCAGGUCCUGUUGAGUUCCUUCUAUAACCUCUCAUGUCUGUUACUUCCUCUUUUAUCUCACUGUCACUGUCCUAGCCUGGUUUUGUUCCCCUUGCUUGGAUUAUUAACACCACUGCCUAACUGGUCUCCCACCGCCAUCUCGCCAUCCAGACCAUGACCCAACUUGCUGCCGUGCCUCUGACACUCGAAAACCUUCAGUGGCUCCUGAAUGGCUAUUAACUCAAGGCCAGACCCUUACCGGCAUCCUGACACUCUGUAAUCUGCCCUUAGCCUGGCCCAUUUCCCAUACGACUAUCUUACUCCUUGUCACAGACCCUACAGUCGCCCAAAUGCCAUUCCUCAAGAGCGUUUUCCAACUUCCAAAUCUUCACUAAUGCCUCCACCAUCCACUUGCUGGGAAACAAUCCUGCCCCCAUCUCUGCCUCUUGAAAGUCGACCCAUCUCUCAAGGCAAACACUAAUGCUGUCUUCCCCAGGAAACGUCCCUUCCUACAGCCACAAGUGCUCUUUCCUGCCCCUUUGUUCCCAUGACACAGUAUGGCAUGAGGGUUAAGCACAGGACUCUGGAGUUGGGCUGUCUGGAUCUGAAUCCAGGCUCUGUUGUUUCAUAGCUGUGUGACCCCAGGCAAGUUACUUAACCUUUCUGUACUUUCUUUUCCCCAUCUGUAAAAUGGGGGGAACAAUGAUAGUACCUACAGCCUGGGAUGGCUCUGAGGAUUUAAUGAGGUUUACACAUGAAAUGCUUUGUACAGUGUUGGCAAAUGCUAGCAAUUGUCACAGUACUCUAUUUGAGUAAUGCCUGUCAUGGUACUGGGUGUUGUCUUGUUUCCCCUGGUCUUAGUACUGUAAGAUCUGGCCUUCUGUCUUAUUUAUAUGUCUGUAUUCUAGUGCCCAAUACAUGGAAGACAUCAGAAAACGAUUAAACUAUAACCCACGUUUAUCUUUCUGAAGAACUUCCAACCCCCCUCCUUGCUAUAGAGCAACAAACCAGCACAUUAAUUGUGUAGAGAUAGGAGUAAAUCUUUUUUUUUUUUUUUUUGCGGUACGCGGGCCUCUCACUGUUGUGGCCUCUCCCGUUGCGGAGCACAGGCUCCGGACACGCAGGCCCAGCGGCCGUGGCUCAGGGGCCCAGCCGCUCUGCGGCAUGUGGGAUCUUCCCGGACCGGGGCACGAACCCGUGUCCCCUGCAUCGGCAGGUGGACUCUCAACCACUGCGCCACCAGGGAAGCCCAGGAGUAAGUCUUUGAGAUUAAAUUGCCACCUUUGUAGGUAUCAGGUCCUAGCUGAAAUGCUUUUUGGUAUAAUCAAAGAUGUACUCUUAUGCUCUGAAAUGGAUCAUGGCACACUUCGGCUUUAAAUAUACCAGUUGCUUCUACCACAUAGGAAGUCUCUGUUUGGGGUUGUGACAUCUCUUUGUGUCUUGAGCAUUUGUAACGUGUCACAGGUAAUUUUACUAAGAUACUAAAAUUCAUAAAUGUAUUUGCUUAAAAAAAAUAAAUUAGAACAGAGUCAAGAGAUUAGGGAGAGGUGACCCCAGACUUUAUCUGAGGAGUAGAUCUGGGUGGUAGAUCUGAGAAACAAAUGCGGGUUGUCUGGUUCCAAGGCCACACUCUUAUUCUUCAGAGUCAUUGAAUCUUAUCCUUGGAUGCACAUUGGAAUCACCUGGAGACCUUUAAAUACUGAUGUCCAGAUCCCACCCCCAGAUCUUCCGGUUUCAUUGGUGUGCGGUGUGGCAUGGGCAUACAGAUUUUGGAAUAAGUAAUAUCGCACCUGCUCACUUAUGCUCAACCAUACUUUCUUCAAUGGGAGGGAAGGGGCAUAGUUGCAGCUAGAACCCUGGAAAUACAUUCAUUAAUUCUUUAAUUCAUUCGGGAAAUAUUUGACGUCUUGCUUCGUGCUACUUACCAUUCUAGGCAGGAAUGAUGAGCAGGACAGACGGGCUCUGCUGUCAUGGGGCUUCCAUUCCAGGGGGGAGGCAAUAAACAGGUAAACAAUGUGAAGGGUCAGUGUGAAAACGAAUAGCUGGAGGGUGAGGAUGUACUUAGAAAGAGAGGCCAUGGAGGGUCUCUCAGAGGAAGUGGCAUUUGAGCUUCCCCCUCAAGGAACAGCCAGUUAAGGGCUGAUGGAAGCGUGUCCCAGCCUCAGGGAACCACAGGAGCAAACCCCUGAGGCAGGACAGGGCUCUGUGUGCUUCGGGAACAGUCUGCCCGGAGUGUGGUUUUGUGAGUACAAGCGCAAUGCAGUUGCAGCUUCCUACCUCAACCUUUUAACAUGCCGGGGACAGUCCCUGUCCUCGGUGUCUCCACAGUCUGCUGCAGAAAGUCCACACUCCUCAGUGUGACAGCCGGUCAUUCCAGAGUCUGACUCAGAGCUCUCCAGCUUCAUCUCCCACCAUCAUCCCUGCCACACACUGGAUCCGCGCCUUCUCAGACAUCUUGCGCCUUUCCUCUUGCUGUGUGCUCUGCCCCAGAGUUCUCCUCCACCUCUCCUCGGUGCACCUUUCCCUCAAGACACAGCUCAAACGUGCCUCCUUGGUGAAGCGUCCCUCAGGUCCCUCCAGAGUGACUCACAUCUCCCUCUGUGUUCGGGCGCAUCUCCUGCACUUCAGCUGCUGUGCUUUUGGGGAGCGAGAAGUCCAUCUUGUUUAACACCGCAGCUACCCCUUCAGGCAGAUCUCCUGGCAGAUCGUCAGUGCCUGGUUGCUGAAUGAAUGUUGCACAGCCAUUGGCCUCUCCGAAAGGGAGUAGCCUAGUUAAUCCUUAACUGUGUACCCCUCUAUGUAGAGUAAACAGGAGGGCAUUCUGUAUUCCAAGAGAGGCUCAGGGUUCUGCCACAAUGAUUAGCGCCACUGGAGAAAGAAGGGAAUGCUCUGGUUUUUUGUUUUUAUUUUUCAAAAAGAGCCCAGAAAUCCCUGUCACAGUGGCAGUAAAAAGUGCCAUCUGUGAACUAAAGGGAGGAAGAUCCAUAAAAGGUCAGAUUAGGCUAUGGUAAUAAGAAUUAUAAUUGCAUGCCGGUAUUCCUUUAAUUUGAGGGUUGAAUGCAAACUAAGCAGGAUGCCCUUUCUGGAAGCCAUGUUUUAAUCAAUUCUGCUGCUCUGGUGGAAGAGUUGAAGCUAGAAAGAAAAUGAUGAUAAUGUUUCUUUCACUUGCCAUCUGAAACUAGGGUAUUACGUGAUGUGACAGUAGUUUGAUGUACAGGCUUUAUGAGUGUUUUAUUGUCUGUGGAAUAUGCAGUACCUUUAUGUUGCUGGGUUCCAAGAAGCUGAGUGCGAGCCACAAUUACUGAAGCCCAAGUGUGUGGAGCCCGUGCUCCGCAACGAGAAGCCACUGCAAUGAGAAGCCCGCGCACCGCAACGAAGAGUAGCCCCCGCUCGCCGCAACUAGAGAAAGGCCGCGUGCAGCAACGAAGACCCAACACAACCAUAAAUAAAUAAAUUUAUUUUAAAAAAAAAAGAAGGCUUUGGUCUUAAAAGUUAAAGGAGGAAACCUUUGGAGAUCAUCUUCUACUUGAACUGCCUUCUGAUUGGGCCAAGCCCAGUCUGAAGCCCUCUGUGGUCGUGGGUUCAGGCUGGCUGACACGGAGGCUGGCUGCGUGGAGGGCCGGGGGGCACAGCUCACCUGUGGAAAUAGGCAGCAGCACUUGGAGUACGAGAGGGGACCUGAGCAUCGGACGCCAAAAGGGCAGGACUGGGAUAAACAGGGAGCACGGAGUCAAAGAGUGGUUGGGAGACAGACACCCUAAUAGAAACCUCUGCAAAAUCCGUGAACAGGCAGUUUGCAGAAGAAAACAUCAGAAUGGCCAAUCAACUGUGAAAAGAUGUCUAACCUCCCUAGUAGGCAGAACAAUGCACAUUAAAGCCACAGUGAGAUGCCAUUUUAUUAGCAAAAACGUAAAAGGUUGAUGACGUCAAGGGCUUCCCUGGUGGCGCAGCUAAGCCUGUGUGCCGCAACUACUGAGCCUGCGCUCUAGAGCCGGUGAGUCACAACUACUGAAGCCCGCACGCCUGGAGCCCGUGCUCGGCAACAAGAGAAGCCACCGCAAUGAGAAGCCGGCACACCACAACGAAGAGUAGCCCCCGCUCACCGCAACUAGAGAAAGCCCACACCCAGCAACAAAGACCCAACUCCGCCAU
RNAcentral lists this long non-coding RNA (4419 nucleotides) under Phocoena sinus (vaquita). Its description in RNAcentral is "lncRNA (ENSPSNG00000018391.1)". The record is from RNAcentral. Lineage: Eukaryota; Metazoa; Chordata; Mammalia; Artiodactyla; Phocoenidae.